CUUUCUUUCUGAGGUUUUUAUCUGCUCUACAUAAAAUCCCAUUCACAGGAUUCCAGCACUACUGCUUGGCCUGAGUUCAUUUAUAUGAGGAGCCAUCAGAUCUUGCCCUCUCUGCUAAAAGCCUUUGUCACUUGACAGUUCCUCAGUAGGUACUACCCCGCAGCGUUCAGUCAUGGAGGAGCACCAAGAGAGAAUGAGUAGAUGAGCAGCAGAAAGGAUUGAAAUGAUAAUGCUUAAUCCCCUGACAAGCUGUGAAGAGAGUCAUCAAUUCACGCUGUCAUUGCUAUUAAUUCCUGAAUUGUGUGAUCAAUCAUGUGAAGAACUGACAAUUGUCCUAUCCCUGCACAGCGUAUUUCUGUUUGCCUCAACACUCAGAUCACUGAAUCCCAAAUGUAUGCAGGUGCCACACGGUGGUGCUCCUGACUCCACGUUGCUCAAAGGUCUGCACUGGCUGGAGGGAGUUAAAGCAGCAAGCCUACCAGAACUGGCUUUGGAAGAAGGGCAAAGAAAGUAAACCAUCCAGUGGAAUGAGGAAUGUACUUUUCUUGCCCAAUUGCUCUACUAAGUCAGAUAUGAAAAGAAUCACAGAAUCACCUUAAGAGAUCAUUGAGUCCAAACUCCCCUGAUAAAGUAGGUACCAAAAAAAUUAUAUAAUGGUAGCUUAUAAAAAUCACAAGUUUUUAUUCUUGUGCCUAUUGUUCCUUUCCCUUUUCUCUAUUUUUUUCUGUCAGUAGAAGAUUCAUCAAGGUUCAUAUUUCAGCAUCCUCCCAGAAACAGGGACAGAUACUUUUCUCUGGGUCAGUCAUGACUGUGAAAAGAAGCAAAGCAGAUGGAGAGGAGAUGCAUCUUUUCCAUGUAAGGAGGGGACCACACAUAAUUAAGAACAGCCAUGGUGGACCCAGGCAGGAGCCCUAUUCUUGGGGGUAGCCAACAGUUUGGCCUAAUGUCAGUUGAAAUAUUCCUUUUUCUUGUGAGUAAAACUUCAUGUUCAUCUAUAUCAAGGCUAUAGUUCAUUGAAAUCAGCAAGAAUGAUUUAAUUGAUUUUUGUGUCUAAUCCUGUAAACUGUAGCAUUCUGAUAGUCAAUGUUUAGCCUUAUUCAUUUAGGAGUUCUGUUCACCUCUCACUGAGAAUUUCUGAAAACCUUACUGAAAAAAUGGAUUGGGCAUUUAGCUAUUAAUGAGAAUCUUGCUUUUAAAUUGUGAGAAGAUAUCUUUUUAAUUAAUCCUCACAGAAAACAAUUGAAUGCUUGACCUACAAGGAUAAUUACUUGUGUUCUGCUUUGAUUAUUUUGUAGAAGUUUUAUUGAAUUUAUACAGCGUACUGCAUAAUAUAUGAUCUAAAAGUGGAGCUCUAUACGACAGUAUAAAGUGGAGAUUUAUACUACAGUAUAAACUUUCUAGAGAACUGACAACCAUGUUGUCUAUAUAAACCAUCAUUCUGUAAUUAGUCUUAGUAUAAUUUUUGUAGGGAUUAUCUUUGCUGUCAUUCUGUGUUGUCUUUUGUAUAUUUUUUC
This 1514-nucleotide long non-coding RNA is filed under the name Phasianus colchicus (ring-necked pheasant). Its description in RNAcentral is "lncRNA (ENSPCLG00000003097.1)". Lineage: Eukaryota; Metazoa; Chordata; Aves; Galliformes; Phasianidae. The record is from RNAcentral.